CAUGUUUCUCAAUUCUCUCCCAGCUACUACAACCUACCCUUCACGCUUUCCUCAAGGUAUGAAUCUGCUUCAGGACCUCCUAUUUAUGUGCCAUUGGUUAAUUAGAGUUCUUAUGUUGUUUUAGAUGGCUGGUUCUGCUUUCCUGUUUACGAAUUAUGCGUCGUCGAUAGGGCGUCCGUAAGGGCGCCUCUGACCACCUACUGUGUGCUUCGCUACAUUUUCAGCCCACCGUGUGCCAGCCCACGCAUGCUUGUUUAAAACGCGCGGCGGGUGUGCGCGUUAGUCGUUGGUUUCUUGUGCGCUGUGCUGCCGCGCUUGCAUAUGCUCAGACUUGCAGGCAAUCUGUCGUGUGCGCGGCUGGGCUGGACCUUCAAAUGCAGAUGCACAGCAGACGGAGUGUACAGGUAAGUGUAUAUGCUGUGGGCAGGUGGUGACUACUGACAUCGUGCACAGGGUUUCGUCGAGUCGGAACGGACCUGCCGGGUUUCGUUUCUUCCAAGCUUGGGCAUCUCAAGCAUGCAUGGAUGCUGAGCUGUCUGACGCUUUAAAAUCGCCUGCGGGUAGGAGAUGAUGGGAAUGGGAGCAGCAAAGCAAAGAACGAUCAGGCGGCGGGCCAUUGCUUAAACUUGGUUGCUUCGGACGAUAUGAUGCGCGACGAGUCUACAUGCAAGAUCGGUUGGCACUGUGGCUCAAAUUAAAGGCUGGUUUAAAGCAUGCAUCAUUGGUGUUAGAUACAGAAAGGAAAAGAAAAAACUGGCACGGCAGGCGCGAUACAUAUACACUGCGCCCGUCUCUUCGGUGGACACUGAAGAGGAGCUGGUGAAUGGACGGGAAAAAAAGAAUUCUAUGCAUACGGAAUGCAAAUCUAUUGGACAGAAAAAGAUUCUAUACAUACCAAAUACAAACAUAUUAUGAGUUACAUUGCAGGCCCACACGAACAAAAAUUACAUCUCUUUAGACUUUUUGUAGCUUCUGUCCGUAAGGGUCUGUAGGUUAUAAAUGUGAGAGGCUGCAACAGAACGAGUUUGCAUCCGGUAUGCUGUCGAUCAGAGCCCGACCAAACACUCAGGAGUCGAGAGGCACGCUACACCACACCCGUGUUCGGAACCGCGCGAUAACCAUCUUGUCGAACUAUGGAAAUGUUGCUAAGCAACAACGAUCUCUAAUACCAUGCAGAGAUACAAAUGCAAUUACAUGAUAUGAUUAUACUUUCAUGAACAAAUUGUAUGAUUGGAAGAGUAUAUAGACUUGGUAAAGAACCCAUAAUGGAACCCCAUAGAGAAAAACUUCUAGAAGAUUAGACAUGGAAAGAACCUUGACUGGAUAAUAGAUAAACUUGUAAACAUAGAGUUGGACUCAUACACGACUUGGUAACCAACUUGGUACCUGUCAUAAACUUUAUAACGAGUCGUUGUUUUCCAUGUAAACGGCCCCUCAGGAUACAAAAGGUUAUACCGACUGCAAAUAAGUCGUUGUAGCCAGGUUGUGGUAUAGUGAGGAAGGACAACCCCCUAGAUCAAGAUUAAAUAGAUUCACUACAUACAAGAUAUAGGCUAUUAUCUCGCAUUAAUAGAUCGAACCUGUUUAAACCCUUGUGUCUCUCAUGCUCUAACCUUCAACUUUUGUUUUUGUGAAAUACCUCGUUAAAUCACCGUCGAACAAUCGUGGAUGAUUGGUGCAUCGGGGAGGAGAAGUCACAAAGAUCAACCAACAUUUGAAGACAUCUAUGAAGUUUGCAUUGGGAGACAAAUUCACGUUCGGCACCUUGCGGUUCGUCCUCAAUCUGACACUAUCUUCUAGGAUACUCUAUGCAAACAAAAAAAA
Molecule: long non-coding RNA, 1824 nt
Filed under: Zea mays
Lineage: Eukaryota; Viridiplantae; Streptophyta; Magnoliopsida; Poales; Poaceae
Description: long non-coding RNA (ZMAY_LNC005040)
Source: RNAcentral